AUGACCGACCGUCUCACAGACUACCUCAACUUCUGUGUAGAUGUGGUUGUCCCCACCAAGACUGUACAGUGUUAUCCUAACAAUAAGCCAUGGGUAACACAGGAAGUCAAGGAUGUCCUCAAUAAGAAGAAAAAGGCCUUCAGAAAUAAAGACAGGGAGGAGAUGAAAGAAGCGCAGAGGGAGGUGAAACGCUGCCUGAAGGAGGCAAAGAACACCUACAGGAAGAAGGUGGAGAAGAAGCUGGCUGAUAACAACAUGCGGGACGUCUGGGAAGGUGUCAGGACCAUCACUGGUCACAAAGCCAAGACCAGCACGGAAGGGGGAGGAGUGGAGAGGGCAAACGACCUGAACCAAUUCUUCAACAGGUUCAGUCAGCCCACUCCACCCCAAUCCUCUGCCCCCCACCUCACCAGCCCAGCUCCCCUCCACCCCUCCCCAGCAGCCAAGCCCCCCUCUACCCCCCCUCCCUCCAACCCGCCACCCACCACAACUUCCCCCAACCCCUCCUCCCCUCCUCCCUCCUCCACCUCCCCUCCCUCUGCUGACCUCCCUCCUCCCACCCUUCCACCCUCUACCACCCCCAUCCCCCUGCUCUCACCAUCCCCACAUCCUCCCUGCUUCACGGCUGACCAGGUGAGGGGAGAACUGAGGAAGCUCCGGCCCCGAAAAGCAGCUGGACCGGAUAGAGUCUGCCCCCGGCUCCUCAAGACCUGCGCUGCUGAACUCGGGGAGCCGCUACAACGGGUCUUCAACCUCAGCCUGGAGCUGGGGAAAGUGCCCACCUUGUGGAAGACGUCCUGCAUCAUUCCUGUCCCCAAGAAGAACAGACCGAGUGAGCUGAACGACUUCCGGCCGGUGGCACUCACCUCACACCUGAUGAAGACUCUGGAGCGGCUCUUCCUCAACCUCCUCAGGCCCCAGGUGCAGCACGCUGAGGACUCCUUACAGUUCGCCUACCGGGACAAGGUCGGUGUAGAGGACGCCAUCAUCUACCUGCUGCACCGAGUCCACUCGCAUCUGGACAAGGGGAGUGGCACAGCGAGAAUCUUCUUUUUGGAUUUCUCGAGUGCCUUCAACACGAUCCAGCCCCUUGUCCUACAGGACAAGCUUCUACAGAUGCGAGUGGACCCCUGCCUGGUUGCUUGGAUCUCCAGCUACCUCACCGACAGGCCGCAGUUCGUCAGGAUGAAGGACACCACGUCUGACACUGUGGUCAGCAGCAUCGGGGCUCCACAGGGGACUGUGCUGUCCCCCAUCCUCUUCACUCUGUACACCUCGGACUUCUGUUACAACUCUGAAAUGUGUCACAUUCAGAAGUUCGCUGAUGACACAGCCAUCGUUGGAUGUAUCAGAGACGACCAAGAGGAGGAGUACCGG
Molecule: long non-coding RNA, 1377 nt
Filed under: Takifugu rubripes (torafugu)
Lineage: Eukaryota; Metazoa; Chordata; Actinopteri; Tetraodontiformes; Tetraodontidae
Description: lncRNA (ENSTRUG00000030042.1)
Source: RNAcentral